GGGGGCGACAUGGCUUCGACGGGGAUUGGGAUAGCUUGUGCUGCAUGCCGAGCUUCUGCUAACUCGUAAAACUGGCGGAGCACACACAAGUGCCACAAAUGACUUUGCACUCGCUGCCUAAAUAGAGCAGCGACGGCUCCUUAGACCCCGCCCGCGGGUUUAAACGAGGCGACACAAUGCGGGCUGGUCCGAUGGCGACGCCCUGAACGCCUGAGGACGAGAAAACAUUCGGGGCUGGCGGUGAAAACCCUGUCUAUCGGCAACUUCAGCGCGAGACAAAACGAUAGACUAAGCAUGUAGAGGCCUUGUGAGUCUCUUUCUCGGACCCGGGUUCGAUUCCCGGCGCCUCCACUC
This 354-nucleotide transfer-messenger RNA is filed under the name Candidatus Dadabacteria bacterium RIFCSPHIGHO2_12_FULL_53_21. It matches the Rfam family "transfer-messenger RNA". Rfam says of the family: Bacterial tmRNA, also known as 10Sa RNA or SsrA, is named for its dual tRNA and mRNA-like properties. RNAcentral also lists the same sequence under 1 other name. The record is from RNAcentral. Lineage: Bacteria; Pseudomonadati; Thermodesulfobacteriota; Candidatus Dadabacteria.